UGUGCUCAUUCUGCACUUCGAAUGAGGUGACGAAAGUCGAGUCGAAUGCGUCACCCGAUUCCCGUAGUCGAAUGCGGUGAGAAGAGUCGAUGUGAGUGAACACCGAUGAACUCUCACCGCAUUCUCGUAGUCGAUUUUGAUCGACAAACGUCGCUUUCAAGUGACGUUUGCGGGUGAGAAGAGUCGCAACCUCAACAGGUGUCGAGAGCGCACUCGAAUCAAGUUAAGCCUAGAGUUAAACGCAAAUUAAUGGAAUGGUCGAUGGAACGGUACAUCGUCCAACCGACUGUCGGCGGGCGCAUCCAGUAGGUUCCAGUUAAACUCCAUGCAGCCCCUGCUCAUCCCAACACCGCGAAAAAAAAUUUCGUUAACGUUGAUUAUUCUACGCCCAGUUCACAGCGGAAAUUCGAAAGAAACUUCAGGAAUCGCCGUAGGUUCUAGAGCGAUCGCUCAACGAACGACGCCGGAAUAUUUAGUAGAAGUGAACUCAGCGCCUUGGUGCGAACUUUAUACUCCACCGCUUCCCAAACCAUUUCAAUGCAUUGGCCGGCCAGGAGGUGACCGAGAGGAGCAGGCCCGUUCUGCACCGAACAGCUUCCGGCAGGAACUGGAACGGAAACUUGGAUUUCGGUAACAUGUUCAGCGACAGGAUCAUACGGACGGAAUCACCCCAAACGGAGAUCUUGAUGAUCGUGCCAAGGAGCAAAUGGAAGGCGUUUGCCUGAUGAAUUAUUCGGGAUUGAAGGAGGAUGUGUGUCCGCAAGGCAUGGGCGGAAGGAGAGUUGCAAAAAUUGAGCCUGCUUGUGUAAUCGUGGACUUGAAUGUACUACGAGUGUCGUUAUAGAAGCAUCCGCUUGUGAAAACAUGAGAUUCAACUGAGCUGAAAAGUAUUUAGACGAAUAAAUAGAAACUGGAAACAAAAAACAUAUCGCUCAUAGAGAUUUAAUCUUUAGUUUGUUUAGUUUUCUGUGUAAUAUUUGAAAGGCUUAUGAUGAUCCAAAAUAAACUAUUUAGGGACUAUGUAUUUUGCUACCGGAUAUAUUCCAUAAUUGCUUUACAAAAUGUUAAUGCAAUAUAAUUUAAAACAAAAGUUUAAUAGUUUAAUGGUUUAAAUUUCAUCAGGGAUUCUUCUAGAUAGUCAUAUGGUUGUGAUGUUUCCUAGUAUUUUUCAUUUUUCUUUUGGGCUUAUUACAGGGAAUUUCGCUCUGCAUUCCUGCUUUAUGAGUUCGUUUAAAUUAAAAAAAUCUUGACUGAGACGCUAGUAAAAAAAACUUGAGAUACUAAUUAAGCAUGGGGACCUAAGAUGUGAAAAAUAGAUGCCGUCCAUACAAUAAUUCCGGAAUACUCCAAAGAUAACUCCAAUAUUUUGUGGAAAAAUUCCUGACUUAUUAAUAAAUCCAGACUACCAAUGCUUGCUGAACCUGAAGAGAAGCUGGGAGAUUGUCUUUGCCAGAAACGUGUGUAGUAAAAGUUUCCGAACAUCUGAUUGUGGAAGCUGAAAACCACUUAUCUACAUCACGAUAAGCUGGGCAUACUUGUGCAUAUCAGCAAAUGGACUUCGAAAAUAUGUUCAUUAAAAGUGUGCGUAAAUCUUUAAUAAAUUAAAUCAAUUAUUUUUUUUUAUGAGACUUUACCACAAUGCGGCCUCUGCAAAUCAAUAAUUGAACAUAUCCUCAACAAUAACAAAUUUGAAGAUUUAUUCUUCCAAUUUGUUAUUGUUGAGGAUAUGUUUUGAAAAAAUACUUUGCGAAACAGGAGAUCAGAACGUCAAAACCAGUCAUCUGUUAGUCCUAUGGUAUUCCGAGCAUUCUGAAGAUUUGAUAUGUUUUUUUUAUUAGGUCCUAAUCUGCCGGUGGACGCAUAAUUGUCCCAUGUACAAAAACAAACAAUCGAGAAAAUCGCAUCCAAAGUUCAAAAAAUUAAAUUGCAUCAACUAUGAAGUAUAAGAUAGUAAAUGCUGAAUCAUGUUCUAACAUCAACCAAUUUGAAAAGUAAAUUUUGUUUUAGAGCGAUUUUAAAGCUAUAUAUAAUUUCUAAUGGAAUGUGAUGCUUAUGUCAUUUUUUUGUGGGCGACGUCUUAGAUUUUUUCGUUAAAAUUAUUUCUAGGGAUUUUUGUAUGUUCUACAAAGUUGUUCUUUGUGACGAAAUAAUCUUUUUAUUUUUUCUUCUUCUUGGAAUAGCGUUUCAACUGAAACAAAGCCUGCAUCUCAACCAGCAACUAUAUGUAUUGCUGGGAGUCCUCCAAGUAUUCUUGAUCUAGCAAUCUCUGCUGUAGCUUCUCCAUGGAUUGCUUCAGAAAUUCAUCUAGGGAUUUUUCCAGGGGAUUCACCAGAAAUUCCCUAGAUAUUCUUCCAUAUUGUUCAUUUGAAGCAUAUUAAACAUAUAGAGGAAUCCCAGCAAGAAUUUCUAGUGGUAAUAUCAGAAGAAAUCUUUAAGGACAGGCUUGUUAGAAUCCCAAAAUGGCCGCCACAAUGGCCGACUUUGGCACCUACUCACGAUUUUGAGGGCACAAAUCUCUUCGUAAACAAAACCAUCACACCUGAUCUUCUUAUUUUAAGCUUAUUACGAGUGAGCAAGAAUAGAAUAAUGAAAUACACUGUUGUGUGAAGUUUGCUUCUUGAGAUUUGUGCGUUUGAAGUUGUGAUGCACUGUUGAAGCGGGAUUUCAAGACGUUUGUCCUUAAUGAAUCCUUGGAGAAAUUCCUGUAAGAAUCCCAAGAGGAGUUCCUGGAGAAAUCCUUGGAAACAUCUCUGGAUGAUCCACAGGAGGAACGUUCGGAGGAACCUCAGAAGGAAUUUCUGGAGUAAUCCAUGUAGAAAUCCUUUGAGGUGUUACAAGAAGAAUUUCUGGAUAAAACGCAGCAGGCAUUCGUGAAGGGUUCCCGAGGGCAACAUCAUAGGCGAAACUACUGGGGGUGCCAGGCACCCCCUAGAAUUUAAAUGCAUUGCUGUGAGAUAUGGGGCGAUGAAUGAUGAAUGGAUAAACUAAUGAAUAUUUGUUUGUGGUGCACCCCCUGGAAAAACAUUCGUAGUUUCGCCCAUGGGCAACAUCUGAAGGAAUUCUUGGAGAAAUCACUGCAGAAGUUAUUGCGGAUUU
Aedes albopictus (Asian tiger mosquito) is the source of this 3096-nucleotide long non-coding RNA. RefSeq lists it as uncharacterized. The record is from RefSeq and is a predicted model, not a curated record. Lineage: Eukaryota; Metazoa; Arthropoda; Insecta; Diptera; Culicidae. The transcript has 2 exons.